This is an RNA transcript of Carassius auratus (goldfish), 2645 nucleotides long. RefSeq lists it as uncharacterized. NCBI's taxonomy places the organism in Eukaryota, Metazoa, Chordata, Actinopteri, Cypriniformes, Cyprinidae. The record is from RefSeq and is a predicted model, not a curated record. The transcript is spliced from 10 exons.
UGAUGGUGUGUUUUAAUGUGAGCGAGUGUGACAGCGCUUAUGCUAUCUUAGUUUGGAUUUGUGAUUAAACGAUUCAAAAUGAAGUUCUCCUGGCCUCUGGUCUGUGUGCUCAUUUUGUCCUGCGUUUGCUUCGGAGGUUCAUAUGAGGAGCUGUCUGUGUUUCAGAGCCCAUUGAAUAUCACUGUGAAUGAAGGAGAACCUAUUCAAAUCAGCUGCUGCUGGAAUAAAGCAAACAUUUUUAAAGUAUUUUGGUAUAAACAUAAUGAAAGAAUACCAGAAGAAAAGGGGCUAUAUCAAAUGCCCUCAAAUAAAAACUGCUCCUUUCUGGAAAUCACAAAUACAGUUAAAAAUGACACCGGAGAUUAUGUUUGUAAAGUGAUUCAGGACAUACCAAUUUUGAUGGAAUAUGAAGGACAAAAAACACACCUGAAUUUCGUUAAAGGUGAACACAGUACUGAGGCAACAACUCAAAAUAUUGUUCAUACGGUUUCCAGCCCAACAACCAAAAAGCCAGCUGUAGUUGAUCAUCCGAAGAGAAAUACAGAAGAUGCAAACUUUACUUAUUUGGAACCUAAGGGUAGUUCGCAGGAGGUUGUGAUCAUUUAUAUUUUCAGAAGUCUGCCCUUCAUCUGUCUGUUAGUGGCAUUCUUUUACCUAAACAGGGACAACAAACAAGUCACAUCAUUACGACCAGUUGAGCAUGCUGUAGAGUUGGGAGUGAGACCAGAUGAAGACCUGGAGGCCGGAGAGACACAGAAGAAUGAAACUGAAGAGGUGAAACAUGGAGAGAAUAUUUCAGAACAGGAGAAAGGUAGGGUCAACAACGAGAAACCUGAAGUAACUGUUGCAACAGAAGAAGAGAAACCGACUGCUGUAGUUGUGAGCAUUGAACAAGGUGCAUCUCCAAUGCAUGACAACGAAAACAAGACCAUUUCUGUUACGAACACUGAGGAAAAGACACAUCUAAUGCCUGAUGUUGAAGAAGGGACUGUUUCUGUGCUGGCCGACUUAGUUUCAGCUCUGUGAGACACAGAGGAAAUGCAGUUAUGGUAUGCUGUUCAGGUCUGUGAUGUCACUUCCUGCAUGAUAGCUUGUUUGCAGACUCAUAAUGGUUUGAAUUCUGAAAGCAGGUGGAAUAAAGUAUGUUCAUGCAUCUUUCUGUAUGAUUGUGUAUGUGGUUGUGUUCAGUCAAGUGUGAGAGCAGUGUUGUGGUUUACGCUGGGCUUCGCUGUGAUAAAUUUAGUUGCAUGGGGAGGGGGUUGAAAAUCUGAGAGUACGAGUGUCUCGUGCGUGUGAAAGGUUGUGCUGUGGGAGUAAAGUAGAGAUGAGAUUCUCUGCAGAUGGUCAGAAAUGAAGUGUUCCUCCAGACUCCUGUGUGGACUCCUCGUGUCAUGCCUUUGUCUCAGAGGUUCAUAUGAGGAGCUGUCUGUGAUUCAGAGCCCAUUGAAUAUCACUGUGAAUGAAGGAGAACCUAUUCAAAUCAGCUGCUGCUGGAAUAAAACAAAAGAAGAAAACAAAACUGUUAAAGUAGUUUGGUAUAAGCAUAAUGAAAAAAUACCAGAAGAAAAGCGGCUAUAUCAAACGCCCUCAAUUAAAACUGCUCCUUUCUGGAAAUCACAAAUACAGUUCAAAAUGACACUGGAGACUAUGUUUGUAAAGUGAUUCAGGACAUACCAGUUCUGGAGGAAUCUGAGGGACAAAAAACACACCUGAAUGUCGUUAAAGGUGAACACAGUACUGAGACAACAACUCAAGGCAAUGCUAGUACAUCUGCCCAAAGCACUCGAACCAAUGGGACUAGCGGCCCCCUUUCACAUUCACCUCCCAUCCUGCCUCUAUCUCUGGCUGCUGCCAUCGGCCUGCUGACCCUCUGCUUGGCCUUCAGUGUGUGCAAGAUGAGAAACUCCUGCAAAAAAUCAGAGCGAGUGGUUAUUCACCAGACGCCACACAGUGAGGGUGAGGAGCAUGAGAACAUGGAAGAAGAAGGUAGCACAGGCUCCUCUCGAGGAUCCCUCCAAUGGUAUCAAGUGCCUGUUUACUGGUCUUACUUUGAUCUACAGAGGGGUGAAGACCAAUGACAACCAGAAAAGAAAGAUGAACGCGAUAUAGCCUACUCUUCACUGCAUUGCAUUUUGCAUUCUCUCUCUUCUUUCAUGAGAACAUCUUUGUAAACAGCAGUAAUUGUAAACAAAAGUAAUUUUAAUCUUCAGAUUCAGUUCAAACCCAUUGAGCUCUUGAUGGUUGUAACAGAUAUGAAUCCCUCUCUUUGUAGCUGCUCUGUUGAUAGUUUUAUACUUAUUUUAAUUUUGUUAGAUUUUUUAUAUGAGUCUUUUUAAAUUAAAGUGUGUCAUACAGACAUGCAUGGUAUACUACUUGGAUGUCAUGCCCUGACAGAUGCAAUUCAGCCAUGUACAAAAGUACCACACUCUGCCUGUCCUAAAGUUUUCUCUGUGUCUAACUCUGAAAAGUUUUAUAGUAAAGACUUUUGUACUGUACAGAUGUCGGAUGUGCCUUUCAGCCUUCUUAGAAAUGUUUCUCAGACUUCAUUCUGACACUUUCAUAGUGUGGUUUCAUUUGCCAUUUACAAUAAAAGCCUGUGAAAACCAUUGAAUGUGGUACUUGUGUCAGUACACGUGAGACAGAAG